AGAGUUUGAUCAUGGCUCAGGACGAACGCUGGCGGCGCGCUUAACACAUGCAAGUCGUGCGAUACCUCGAGCGAGUCUUACGACAAGCUCAAGGUAGAGCGGCGGACGGGUGAGUAACACGUGAGUAGCUGUCCUAAGGAGGGGGAUAACGCCUGGAAACGGGUGCUAAAACCCCAUAUGCCUCGCAAGAGGUGAAAGUGUAGCUUGCUACAGCCUUAGGGUGUGCUCGCGGCCUAUCAGCUAGUUGGUGAGGUAACGGCUCACCAAGGCUAAGACGGGUAGCCGGCCUGAGAGGGUGUACGGCCACACUGGAAUUGAGAUACGGUCCAGACUCCUACGGGAGGCAGCAGUGGGGAAUCUUGGGCAAUGGGCGAAAGCCUGACCCAGCGACGCCGCGUUGGGGAUGAAGCCCUUCGGGGUGUAAAGCCAUGUUGUAGGGGACGAAGAAAGUGACGGUACCCUACGAGGAAGCCCCGGCUAACUACGUGCCAGCAGCCGCGGUAAGACGUAGGGGGCAAGCGUUGUCCGGAAUUACUGGGCGUAAAGGGCAUGCAGGCGGUGCGCCAAGUCGAGGGUGUAAAGUUACGGCUCAACCGUGACAUUGCAAUCGAUACUGGCGCGCUGGAGUGCGGGAGAGGGAAGUGGAAAUUCCCGGUGUAGCGGUGAAAUGCGUAGAUAUCGGGAGGAACGCCAGUGGCGAAGGCGGCUUCCUGGCCCGCGACUGACGCUCAUGUGCGAAAGCCAGGG
Molecule: ribosomal RNA, 747 nt
Filed under: uncultured bacterium
Lineage: Bacteria
Description: bacterial SSU rRNA
Rfam family: Bacterial small subunit ribosomal RNA
Source: RNAcentral